UGAAUGGGGAAACCCACUUACAUAAGUAAGUAUCCUGUUGUGAAUACAUAGCAACAGGAGGCAAACCGGGGGAACUGAAACAUCUAAGUACCCCGAGGAAGAGAAAUCAACCGAGAUUCCGAAAGUAGCGGCGAGCGAAAUUGGAUUAGCCCUUAAGCUUUUAAUGAUGCAGGUGAAGAGUCUGGAAAGUCUCGCAAUAAAGGGUGAUAGCCCCGUAACCGACACAUCAUAAUCAGUGAAAACGA
This 245-nucleotide ribosomal RNA is filed under the name Vibrio splendidus. RNAcentral describes it as "partial 23S ribosomal RNA". It matches the Rfam family "Bacterial large subunit ribosomal RNA", at positions 115 to 411 of the family's 2925-position model. The record is from RNAcentral. Lineage: Bacteria; Pseudomonadati; Pseudomonadota; Gammaproteobacteria; Vibrionales; Vibrionaceae.